Molecule: non-coding RNA, 546 nt
Filed under: Rodentolepis nana
Lineage: Eukaryota; Metazoa; Platyhelminthes; Cestoda; Cyclophyllidea; Hymenolepididae
Description: Hymenolepis nana Eukaryotic large subunit ribosomal RNA
Rfam family: Eukaryotic large subunit ribosomal RNA
Source: Rfam by way of RNAcentral
GGUGGUAGCAAAUAUUCAAGUGAGAACCUUGAAGCCGAAGUGGAGAAGAGUUCCAUGGGAGCGGCAGUUGGCCAUGGGUCAGGAGGUCCUAAGCGAUCCGAUGACUCGGUACAGAGUCGUUGGGGUCCCUUAUACGUUUCUGUGUUGCUCUCAUUAUUUGAAGCAUUUGUGUGGGUGCUGGCAGCCCCUCGGAGCGAAAGGGAAUCGGGUUAAUAUUCCCGACCAUGCCCACGGAGUUAGGUCCUGCUUGUGUGCUUGUAUCGUUUCGGUGCGAGUUACUGACAUCAUCAAGCGCGGCAACGCAAAAGAACUCGGAGACGUCGGUAAGAGUUCCGGGAAGAGUUUUCUUUUCUUUGCAAGGACGGCUACCACCCCUGGAAUCGGGUUGUCCGGAGAUAGGGGUUUCGCCUCCGUUAAGCACCACCCCUCUUGUGGUGUCCGGUACGCUCUUUUUCUUCCCUUGAAAAUCCGAGGGAGGCAUUGUGAUUUUCGCGGCAGGCCGUACCCAUAUCAGCAUCAGGUCUCCAAGAUGAAGAGCAUCUGGCA